GCAGAAGAUGCUGUGUCAAGUGCGCGCCGUCAGGCGUGAAGAGGGAAUCAGGUGAGAAUCCUGAACGAUCCGGUCACUGUAUUCGGAGAGCCCGCUCUCGAUAUCCCAUUGCAUAACCCUGAUACAUGUGAGAAGGGGAGAGCGAGCGUCAGAUCCGUAAGCCAGGAAACCUGCUUGGCAUAUGAGAUGAGC
Molecule: non-coding RNA, 192 nt
Filed under: Lachnoclostridium sp. An196
Lineage: Bacteria; Bacillati; Bacillota; Clostridia; Lachnospirales; Lachnospiraceae
Also listed under: 1 other name
Source: RNAcentral